UACGGGGGGGGCAAGCGUUGUUCGGAAUUACUGGGCGUAAAGGGUUUGUAGGUGGCCCGCUAAGUCACACGUGAAAUCCCUCAGCUUAACUGGGGAACUGCGUGUGAGACUGGCAGGCUCGAGGGCAGGAGAGGAACGCGGAAUUCCUGGUGUAGCGGUGAAAUGCGCAGAUAUCAGGAGGAACACCGGUGGCGAAGGCGGUUCUCUGGGCAUUACCUGACGCUGAGGAGCGAAAGUGUGGGGAGCGAACAGG
Molecule: ribosomal RNA, 253 nt
Filed under: uncultured bacterium
Lineage: Bacteria
Description: partial 16S ribosomal RNA
Rfam family: Bacterial small subunit ribosomal RNA
Source: RNAcentral